ACUAGAAAAACUUAGCGGCGAACGGGUGAGUAACACGUAAAGAACCUGCCUCAUAGACGGGGACAACUAUUGGAAACGAUAGCUAAUACCGGAUAACAGCAUAAAUCGCAUGAUAUAUGUUUAAAAGUUGGUUUCGGCUAACACUAUGAGAUGGCUUUGCGGUGCAUUAGCUAGUUGGUGGGGUAAAGGCCUACCAAGGCGACGAUGCAUAGCCGACCUGAGAGGGUGAUCGGCCACACUGGGACUGAGACACGGCCCAGACUCCUACGGGAGGCAGCAGUAGGGAAUCUUCCGCAAUGGGCGAAAGCCUGACGGAGCAACGCCGCGUGAGUGAAGAAGGAUUUCGGUUCGUAAAGCUCUGUUGUUAGGGAAGAAUGAUUGUAUAGUAACUAUAUACAGUAGAGACGGUACCUAACCAGAAAGCCACGGCUAACUACGUGCCAGCAGCCGCGGUAAUACGUAGGUGGCAAGCGUUGUCCGGAAUUAUUGGGCGUAAAGCGCGCGCAGGUGGUUUAAUAAGUCUGAUGUGAAAGCCCACGGCUCAACCGUGGAGGGUCAUUGGAAACUGUUAAACUUGAGUGCAGGAGAGAAAAGUGGAAUUCCUAGUGUAGCGGUGAAAUGCGUAGAGAUUAGGAGGAACACCAGUGGCGAAGGCGGCU
This 659-nucleotide ribosomal RNA is filed under the name uncultured bacterium. RNAcentral's name for it is "bacterial SSU rRNA". It matches the Rfam family "Bacterial small subunit ribosomal RNA", at positions 81 to 726 of the family's 1533-position model. The record is from RNAcentral.